GAUGAACGCUAGCGGCAGGCUUAACACAUGCAAGUCGCGGGGCAGCGGGGGAUGAGCUUGCUCAUCCCGCCGGCGACCGGCGCACGGGUGAGUAACACGUAUGCAACCUGCCCCUGUCAGGGGGACAACCCACCGAAAGGUGGGCUAAACCCGCGUACAUCCGGAGGGGGCAUCCCCUUGGGAGGAAAGGAGCGAUCCGGACAGGGAUGGGCAUGCGGCGCAUUAGCUAGACGGCGGGGUAACGGCCCACCGUGGCGACGAUGCGUAGGGGUUCUGAGAGGAAGGCCCCCCACACUGGUACUGAGACACGGACCAGACUCCUACGGGAGGCAGCAGUGAGGAAUAUUGGUCAAUGGUCGGGAGACUGAACCAGCCAAGCCGCGUGAGGGAAGAAGGUACAGCGUAUCGUAAACCUCUUUUGCCGGGGAACAAGAGCUUCCACGAGUGGGAGUGUGAGCGUACCCGGAGAAAAAGCAUCGGCUAACUCCGUGCCAGCAGCCGCGGUAAUACGGAGGAUGCGAGCGUUAUCCGGAUUUAUUGGGUUUAAAGGGUGCGUAGGCGGCGAGUUAAGUCAGCGGUAAAAGCCCGGGGCUCAACCCCGGCCCGCCGUUGAAGCUGGCUGGCUUGAGUUGGGGAAAGGCAGGCGGAAUGCGCGGUGUAGCGGUGAAAUGCAUAGAUAUCGCGCAGAACCCCGAUUGCGAAGGCAGCCUGCCGGCCCCACACUGACGCUGAGGCACGAAAGCGUGGGGUAUCGAACAGGAUUAGAUACCCUGGUAGUCCACGCAGUAAACGAUGAAUGCUUGCUGUCCGGGGGGAUUUGCCCCUGGGGGGCGCAGCGAAAGCGAUAAGCAUUCCACCUGGGGAGUACGCCGGCAACGGUGAAACUCAAAGGAAUUGACGGGGGCCCGCACAAGCGGAGGAACAUGUGGUUUAAUUCGAUGAUACGCGAGGAACCUUACCCGGGCUCAAACGGGAGACGCCGCAGGCAGAGACGCCUGUUUCCUUAGGGACGUCUUCCGAGGUGCUGCAUGGUUGUCGUCAGCUCGUGCCGUGAGGUGUCGGCUUAAGUGCCAUAACGAGCGCAACCCCCGCGGGCAGUUGCUAACAGGUUAAGCUGAGGACUCUGCCCGGACUGCCGGCGCAAGCCGCGAGGAAGGCGGGGAUGACGUCAAAUCAGCACGGCCCUUACGUCCGGGGCGACACACGUGUUACAAUGGGCGGUACAGCGGGAAGCCAGGCGGCGACGCCGAGCGGAACCCGAAAGCCGUUCUCAGUUCGGAUCGGGGUCUGCAACCCGACUCCGUGAAGCUGGAUUCGCUAGUAAUCGCGCAUCAGCCAUGGCGCGGUGAAUACGUUCCCGGGCCUUGUACACACCGCCCGUCAAGCCAUGGGAGCCGGGGGUGCUUGAAGUGCGUCGCCGCGAGGCGCGCCCUAGAGCAAAACCGGUGACUGGGGCU
This 1457-nucleotide ribosomal RNA is filed under the name uncultured bacterium. Its description in RNAcentral is "bacterial SSU rRNA". It matches the Rfam family "Bacterial small subunit ribosomal RNA". The record is from RNAcentral.